CAUUAUGGUGUGUGUGUCCCCUACCGCUAAACACACAAACAUCUGAUCUAUUUAACUUUCUUCAUUUAAAUUUCUC
Molecule: non-coding RNA, 76 nt
Filed under: Pteridomonas danica
Lineage: Eukaryota; Dictyochophyceae; Pedinellales
Source: RNAcentral